GAUGAACGCUGGCGGCGUGCCUAAUACAUGCAAGUCGAGCGAACAGACGAGGAGCUUGCUCCUCUGACGUUAGCGGCGGACGGGUGAGUAACACGUGGAUAACCUACCUAUAAGACUGGGAUCACUUCGGGAAACCGGAGCUAAUACCGGAUAAUAUAUUGAACCGCAUGGUUCAAUAGUGAAAGACGGUUUUGCUGUCACUUAUAGAUGGAUCCGCGCCGCAUUAGCUAGUUGGUAAGGUAACGGCUUACCAAGGCAACGAUGCGUAGCCGACCUGAGAGGGUGAUCGGCCACACUGGAACUGAGACACGGUCCAGACUCCUACGGGAGGCAGCAGUAGGGAAUCUUCCGCAAAGGGCGAAAGCCUGACGGAGCAACGCCGCGUGAGUGAUGAAGGUCUUCGGAUCGUAAAACUCUGUUAUUAGGGAAGAACAAAUGUGUAAGUAACUGUGCACGUCUUGACGGUACCUAAUCAGAAAGCCACGGCUAACUACGUG
RNAcentral lists this ribosomal RNA (497 nucleotides) under uncultured bacterium. RNAcentral describes it as "partial 16S ribosomal RNA". It matches the Rfam family "Bacterial small subunit ribosomal RNA", at positions 28 to 507 of the family's 1533-position model. The record is from RNAcentral.